RNAcentral lists this long non-coding RNA (1542 nucleotides) under Triticum aestivum (bread wheat). RNAcentral's name for it is "long non-coding RNA (TAES_LNC016081)". Lineage: Eukaryota; Viridiplantae; Streptophyta; Magnoliopsida; Poales; Poaceae. The record is from RNAcentral.
AAAAAAGAUUUUCAUUUGUUGUGAACUUAGUGCAAUUUAACUUUGCUUCCUACCUAGAAUAUUUUGUUUCCCUUGUCUAAGGAGAUUGCUUCCACAACAUAUGAAGCUUGUUUCUAACAUAGAAAAAAUAUAAUAUGCUUCCAUCAACAUUGCUUCCAAAGAGAGAAAAUAAUAUACUAUGCUUCCAUCAAUAUUUGCUCAGAUCUACAUUGCCUCCAAAAGUGAAUAUAAAUUGAUAUCAAAGAAACAUUGUUUAUUGUUUGUUCCAACGAAACUAAGCUACUAACAGAAAUAGUAUUUGCUUCCUGUGAUAUCAGCAUUUGCUUCUGUAUACAAGAAUUGUCACGGGGUUAGCUUCGUCUCGGCACAAUGCCACAGUGGUCCACCUCAAUGGAGAUGUCAAUGCGCUAGGGACACGCAACUGGACCAUGGAUGUACCCAUUAGCAUGACCCAUGAUUAAACAUAGGGGUUGUCGUGUCGGCGGUGGCGGCGGCGUGGAAACGGCAGCCAUGAGCAGUAAAGAGGACACCGAGGAUCAACGCGCAGUAGGGGCUUGCCGUGGAGUGCUCUUCGCCGCUGGUGAAGGGUACCGUGGACAGUCGUCGAUGGGGCAGCAUGUCGUCCUACGGCGUGGGAUUCGUCGCUCUGACUCUACACGGUGAAGUAUGGUUGAAAUGCCACAAAUUCUAUGCAGCAAAGAAUCACAUGUUUGAAAAAUAGGAAUCAUUGAUAUUUGGACGCAUUAGAUUCAUCAAAUUCAACAAAAUAGAAGGAGCAGUGGUUACAACAGGAAAAAGAUGUCAAGCUUGAGAAGCAUGGUUGUAUUGCCAAUCCAUCUACACAUAUUUGAUAUAUAUAAGAAGCACCAAAUCUCUGUAGAAAAAAUCUUCAAAUCACAACACAUGCGAGACCUAGUGGAAGCAUAGAAACCUGAAAACGAAAUUUAGCAUCCCUUGCUGCAAAGAUGUAUGCGCUGAAAUUUGUGAUAAGUAUGAUCCAACAUAAGUGGGAAUUUUGUGACCCUACAUCAACUAAACCAUGAUUUGAAUAAAAAAGCACGCUCUAGCAGCAAGCAAUGUAUGCAGGUUAGUACAUGCAUAUUGCAAAAGAACUGAACCUAGGGCAUGCAGAUUGAUGUCGCAUGCCAAUAGUGCCGCCGGUGCCGAGGUGUGCUUGCGCAUGAUGCGGUCGAGCUGCCGCAAGUACAUCCACCUCGGGGUCUGCUGCAACUGCCGCCUGCUGGUACUCCGGCCGCCAAGUGAUCCUACGCAACCAGCUGAGGUGGAACGGAGGCCACGUCGAGGAAUCGGACGGUGGAGUGGAUCCGAUCUGGGUGGUGAUGGGUGAUAGAUCAGGGGCGGCGCGGUGGAAUCGUGAGGUCCACGGUGAUUGUGAGUUGGUUGGGACCAGAGCGAUUAAUUAGGGCCCUAAUUUAGGGGAGAGGAACGGGCAAAAGAUUUGGAAGAAAUAGUGGGAUAGGGGUCUUUUGAAUGAGAUUUCUCUGAGGAGGUAAUGAUCAUGGGAUGGAACACAAAUGAACG